AGAGCCCCAGAGGCAGAGCUGCCCAAGGCUUUGGGAGCCCACCUCUUGCAUCACUGUGCCCUGGAUGUGAGACGUGGAAUCAAGGAGAUUAUUUUGGAGCUUUAAGACGUAAUGGCACCCUGCUGGGUUUCAGACUUGAGUGGAGCCUGCAGCCUUUCUUUCGGCCGGUUUCUCCCUUUUGGAACGGGAGUAUUUACCCAAUGCCUGUACCCCCAUGACGUGCCCGUGUCCCCUUCCUCCACCACAAGAUUGUAAGUUUUCUGGAGCCUCCCCAGAAGCUGAGAAGAAGCUGCUAUGCUUCCUGUUCAGCCUGCAGAACCGCCACUUCCAGCAUCGAUGGUGUCAGGUCAGGUCCUCUGGGUAGAAGAAAUGGAGUCAGUUAGGAGUGCUGGAGACUGAGUAAGAGGUGGCAGCUGAGGCUUACUACCCCAGGAAAGGGAUGCCACCAGAGAAGGCAGACAACCAAGAUGGCGACUCUCAAUUUUUGAGC
Molecule: long non-coding RNA, 490 nt
Filed under: Homo sapiens (human)
Lineage: Eukaryota; Metazoa; Chordata; Mammalia; Primates; Hominidae
Description: long intergenic non-protein coding RNA 570
Source: RNAcentral